AGUGAACGCUGGCGGUAGGCCUAACACAUGCAAGUCGAACGGCAGCACAGUAAGAGCUUGCUCUUACGGGUGGCGAGUGGCGGACGGGUGAGGAAUACAUCGGAAUCUACUUUUUCGUGGGGGAUAACGUAGGGAAACUUACGCUAAUACCGCAUACGACCUACGGGUGAAAGCAGGGGAUCUUCGGACCUUGCGCGAUUGAAUGAGCCGAUGUCGGAUUAGCUAGUUGGCGAGGUAAAGGCCCACCAAGGCGACGAUCCGUAGCUGGUCUGAGAGGAUGAUCGGCCACACUGGAACUGAGACACGGUCCAGACUCCUACGGGAGGCAGCAGUAGGGAAUAUUGGGCAAUGGGCGAAAGCCUGAUGCAGCAAUACCGCGUGAGUGAAGAAGGCCUUCGGAUUGUAAAGCCCUUUUAUUGGGAAAGAAAAGCAGCAGAUGAAUACGCCGAUGUUCUGACGGUACCCAAAGAGUAAGCACCGGCUAACUUCGUG
Molecule: ribosomal RNA, 492 nt
Filed under: uncultured bacterium
Lineage: Bacteria
Description: partial 16S ribosomal RNA
Rfam family: Bacterial small subunit ribosomal RNA
Source: RNAcentral